RNAcentral lists this ribosomal RNA (677 nucleotides) under uncultured beta proteobacterium. RNAcentral describes it as "bacterial SSU rRNA". It matches the Rfam family "Bacterial small subunit ribosomal RNA", at positions 202 to 867 of the family's 1533-position model. Lineage: Bacteria; Pseudomonadati; Pseudomonadota; Betaproteobacteria. The record is from RNAcentral.
GAGAUCUUCGGGCCUUACGUUAUAAGAGCGGCCGAUAUCUGAUUAGCUAGUUGGUGGGGUAAUGGCCUACCAAGGCGACGAUCAGUAGCUGGUCUGAGAGGACGACCAGCCACACUGGAACUGAGACACGGUCCAGACUCCUACGGGAGGCAGCAGUGGGGAAUUUUGGACAAUGGGCGAAAGCCUGAUCCAGCCAUUCCGCGUGAGUGAAGAAGGCCUUCGGGUUGUAAAGCUCUUUCGCAAGGGAAGAAAACUUACAUUCUAAUAAAGUGUGAGGCUGACGGUACCUUGAUAAGAAGCACCGGCUAACUACGUGCCAGCAGCCGCGGUAAUACGUAGGGUGCGAGCGUUAAUCGGAAUUACUGGGCGUAAAGCGUGCGCAGGCGGUUUGGCAAGUCAGAUGUGAAAUCCCCGAGCUCAACUUGGGAACUGCGUUUGAAACUGCCAGACUAGAAUAUGUCAGAGGGGGGUAGAAUUCCACGUGUAGCAGUGAAAUGCGUAGAGAUGUGGAGGAAUACCAAUGGCGAAGGCAGCCCCCUGGGAUAAUAUCGACGCUCAUGCACGAAAGCGUGGGGAGCAAACAGGAUUAGAUACCCUGGUAGUCCACGCCCUAAACGAUGUCUACUAGUUGUUGGUGGAGUAAAAUCCAUGAGUAACGCAGCUAACGCGUGAAGUAG